AAACAGAGCACUUGAUUUUCAAAAUUAAACAGCAACAACUCUACUUAAAUCUCCCGAUUCUCAAAAUUAAAAGAAAACAGAGCACUUGAAUUUUAUAUAUAUAUAUAUAUAUAUAUAAAGAAGCAGGAAAAGAGAAACAACAAAAGAAACAAUAACUCUGCUCUUUUCAAGAAUUAAUGUAUUUUUGAAAAUGCGGUACUUAUUGCUUUUCAAAAUGGGUUGCUGGUGACGGUGCCAUCCUCAGAAUCCUUCCUGUUUGGCUUCUGGCUUCAGCCUCAGAUUUGUGCUGCCUUUCGGCCUUCGCUUGCUUCAAUGUUGCCAUGAAUACGCUUGCACGGUCCUCUUGAUUCAAUCUCAAAGGUCUUCGCGCGGCCUAUCUUUUUGUGAGAACAUCGAGACGUGAGGAGUGAAUAAGCCAAUGAGAAAGCUGAGAAGCCGAAAAGGAUAGAAUCCAGCC
Molecule: long non-coding RNA, 457 nt
Filed under: Populus trichocarpa (black cottonwood)
Lineage: Eukaryota; Viridiplantae; Streptophyta; Magnoliopsida; Malpighiales; Salicaceae
Description: long non-coding RNA (PTRI_LNC000676)
Source: RNAcentral